UGUAAGCGUAUACCAAAGUUGUUGCAGUUAAAACGCUCGUAGUCGGAAUUUGGCAGUUCCGGAUGUGUGCACGUCGUGUGCGCACUUCGCGGGGAUUGCUUUUGUGGUCUUGCGUAGGAUGAGGCACUUUUAUUAGUGAACGUCCUCACGCAACCACUUUUUACUGUGAGAAAAUCAGAGUGCUCAAAGCAGGCAUUUGCCGUGAGUGUAUUAGCAUGGAAUAAUAGAAUAGGACUUGGUUCUAUUUUGUUGGUUUGUUGGGACUGAGUAAUGAUUAAGAGGGACAGUUGGGGGCAGUUGUAUUUCGGUGCUAGAGGUGAAAUUCUUAGAUUACCGAAAGACAAACUGCUGCGAAAGCGUCUGCCAAGGAUGUUUUCAUUGA
RNAcentral lists this ribosomal RNA (382 nucleotides) under uncultured eukaryote. RNAcentral's name for it is "partial 18S ribosomal RNA". It matches the Rfam family "Eukaryotic small subunit ribosomal RNA", at positions 592 to 976 of the family's 1831-position model. The record is from RNAcentral.